Molecule: long non-coding RNA, 265 nt
Organism: Trichomycterus rosablanca
Lineage: Eukaryota; Metazoa; Chordata; Actinopteri; Siluriformes; Trichomycteridae
Exons: 3
Source: RefSeq, a predicted model, not a curated record
CGCCACGAAAGCCCAGGUCACCUUUUUCUCCCUGUAACGCAUAGAAGAAUGUAAACACACAAACACAUAUGCCCAGGACCUGGUGGGCCUUGAAGACCCCUUUCACCCUUCUCUCCUUUGGCACCAGAACAGCUAGCUCCUUCUAGGAGCCAAAUAAAAUCAAAAGAUGGCAUUUGGAUGUCAAUGAGAUCUAAGGGGAAGGAAAUAUGUGGAAACAGCAGCCUCUUUUGGCCAUCAGGAAUAAAAUACAGUGUUUGCAUAUUUU